UCGAGAAUCUUUCACAAUGGGCGAAAGCCUGAUGGAGCGACGCCGCGUGGAGGUUAAGGUCUUCGGAUUGUAAACUCCUGUCAUGCGAGAACAAAGCCCGCAAGGGUCUGAUAGUAUCGCAAGAGGAAGAGACGGCUAACUCUGUGCCAGCAGCCGCGGUAAUACAGAGGUCUCAAGCGUUGUUCGGAAUUACUGGGCGUAAAGGGUGCGCAGGCCGCGCGGGCAGUCAAAUGUGUAAUCCAGGGGCUCAACCCCUGAACUGCGCUUGAUACUUCCGCGCUCGAGCUUUGGAGAGGAGUCUGGAAUUCUCGGUGUAGCAGUGAAAUGCGUGGAUAUCGAGAAGAACACUUAGGGCGUAGGCAAGACUCUGGACAAAUGCUGACGCUCAUGCACGAAGGCUAGGGUAGCGAACG
RNAcentral lists this ribosomal RNA (413 nucleotides) under uncultured Verrucomicrobiaceae bacterium. Its description in RNAcentral is "partial 16S ribosomal RNA". It matches the Rfam family "Bacterial small subunit ribosomal RNA", at positions 355 to 774 of the family's 1533-position model. Lineage: Bacteria; Pseudomonadati; Verrucomicrobiota; Verrucomicrobiia; Verrucomicrobiales; Verrucomicrobiaceae. RNAcentral also lists the same sequence under 1 other name. The record is from RNAcentral.